Molecule: ribosomal RNA, 253 nt
Filed under: uncultured bacterium
Lineage: Bacteria
Description: partial 16S ribosomal RNA
Rfam family: Bacterial small subunit ribosomal RNA
Source: RNAcentral
UACGUAGGUGGCAAGCGUUGUUCGGAAUUACUGGGCGUAAAGCGCGUGUAGGCGGCUCUUCAAGUCAGGCGUGAAAGCCCCGGGCUUAACUCGGGAACUGCGCUUGAUACUGUCGAGCUAGAGUGUGGAAGGGGCGAUUGGAAUUCCGUGUGUAGCGGUGAAAUGCGUAGAUAUACGGAGGAACACCAGAGGCGAAGGCGGAUCGCUGGGCCAACACUGACGCUGAGACGCGAAAGCUAGGGGAGCAAACGGG